CAUAACCUUUAGCCAAACCAGUAUUAAAGGCAACGCCUGCCCAGUGAACAAUUAAACGGCCGCGGUACCCUAACCGUGCAAAGGUAGCGUAAUCAUUUGUCUAUUAAUUGUAGACCUGUAUGAAAGGCAUAAUGAGGGCCUAACUGUCUCUUUUAGUAAAUCAAUUAAACUGAUCUCCCAGUCCAAAAGCUGGGAUACUGACAUAAGACCAGAAGACCCUGUGAAACUUUAACUAAACUAUUAAAACCCAUAAUAACUACUUUAGGUUGGGGCGACCUUGGAAAAAAAAAGAACUUCCAAACACAUAUUAUAUAAUAAUAUACCCUUAGGCCAACAAGCCUACAACGACCCAGCACAGCUGAUAAUUGAACCAAGCUACUCCAGGGAUAACAGCGCUAUCUUCUUCAAGAGCCCAUAUCAAAAAGAAGGUUUACGACCUCGAUGUUGGAUCAGGACAUCCUGAUGGUGCAACCGCUAUUAAGGGUUCGUUUGUUCAACGAUUAACAGUCCUACGUGAUCUG
RNAcentral lists this ribosomal RNA (521 nucleotides) under Ephalophis greyae (North-western mangrove seasnake). RNAcentral describes it as "partial 16S ribosomal RNA". It matches the Rfam family "Bacterial large subunit ribosomal RNA", at positions 1814 to 2607 of the family's 2925-position model. Lineage: Eukaryota; Metazoa; Chordata; Lepidosauria; Squamata; Elapidae. The record is from RNAcentral.